GGUUAAGCGACUAAGCGUACACGGUGGAUGCCCUGGCAGUCAGAGGCGAUGAAGGGCGUGCUAAUCUGCGAUAAGCGCCGGUAAGGUGAUAUGAACCGUUAUAACCGGCGAUACCCGAAUGGGGAAACCCAGUGUGACUCGUCACACUAUCAUUAACUGAAUCCAUAGGUUAAUGAGGCGAACCGGGGGAACUGAAACAUCUAAGUACCCCGAGGAAAAGAAAUCAACCGAGAUUCCCCCAGUAGCGGCGAGCGAACGGGGAGGAGCCCAGAGCCUGAAUCAGCAUGUGUGUUAGUGGAAGCGUCUGGAAAGGCGCGCGAUACAGGGUGACAGCCCCGUACACAAAAGCGCAUAUGCUGUGAGCUCGAUGAGUAGGGCGGGACACGUGGUAUCCUGUCUGAAUAUGGGGGGACCAUCCUCCAAGGCUAAAUACUCCUGACUGACCGAUAGUGAACCAGUACCGUGAGGGAAAGGCGAAAAGAACCCCGGCGAGGGGAGUGAAAAAGAACCUGAAACCGUGUACGUACAAGCAGUGGGAGCACCCUUUGGGGUGUGACUGCGUACCUUUUGUAUAAUGGGUCAGCGACUUAU
This 591-nucleotide ribosomal RNA is filed under the name Salmonella enterica. RNAcentral describes it as "partial 23S ribosomal RNA". It matches the Rfam family "Bacterial large subunit ribosomal RNA", at positions 1 to 631 of the family's 2925-position model. Lineage: Bacteria; Pseudomonadati; Pseudomonadota; Gammaproteobacteria; Enterobacterales; Enterobacteriaceae. The record is from RNAcentral.